This 2439-nucleotide long non-coding RNA is filed under the name Homo sapiens (human). RNAcentral's name for it is "HSALNT0079501". Lineage: Eukaryota; Metazoa; Chordata; Mammalia; Primates; Hominidae. The record is from RNAcentral.
CAAUUGGGACCAGCCUGGUUCACUGAAGUAAGAGUCCAGGAAAGAUGAGCGUUUUUAUUUACCUGAGUGAGUCUCUGGUUUAGUGUUUCUUCUUAAACACUGAGUUCACAGGGCUCUUAAAGCAGACCGGAGUCGCAGAAAAGGGCACUGGACAGAGUCAGUCCACAAGUAUCUGCUGAGGUCCUACUAUGCGUCAGACACUGUUCAGGCACAGGGUUGUGCUGAAGACGAGAGCAACAACAUCCCAAAGCUCUGUCAUGUUGGUGGAUGUGUCAUGCUGGUGGGGGAAAGACAGAGAAGAGUCAGGUAAACAUGCACGUGGGCCAGGACAACAAAGAGAAUUGUCUGCUGGCAAAGGCAGCUGUGGCAGAGUCUGCUACGAUGGCCACCCCCAGGAGCUCUCUCUGCCAUGGCCAGGGAGUACUGGGGCAGUCCCAGAAGGCAAAACCAGUGAGAGGGGCUAGGACCCCAUGGCUGCCUAGGGGACUCCUCAGGAAAAACCAAAGCUGGAGUGGCCCUGAGGAAGCUCUGGAGUGACUGAGGACCUAGUGAUUUUGGGGACAUGGGGCUUUCCAUGCUCAAGACAGGACAGUCUGGGGCAAACCCCACAUAUCAGCCACUCCAGCAGCUUUCGUCUUCCUGGGGGUAGCUGGGGCAUGCUGCUUAAGGACGGUCACUCCUAGAACAGCGUCUAGGAUGAAGAAAUACGGCUCAUGAGGACAUUUAAAACAACAAACCUGAUCUCACUGCCACCGGGGCCACAGAACCCCACAUGGGUGGAUGGGGCAGGCUGAGGCCGCUCAGUGGGGUGCUGGAAAGCUGGGAGGCAGGUCAGGGGCCUGCUCUGGGAGACUUCUUUUCUUUCUGUUUCCUCCUUUUUUCAUUCAAAUCUCCACCUUCAAGGGAGGGGGCCUUGGACAGCUGUACCCUCAUGAAAGUAAAGAGUAGCUCUUUCCGGUCUGCCACCAGGAAGCAAAGGAUUAGGGGACCCCACACAGCUUCCUUUGGGGGCUGGUGGGAACAGCCAGCACUCUUUUGGGCUGAGUCACAUGGAGGUCCCGUGCGUCCUCCCCUUUUCCUGCCUGAGCCAUGAUUUGCCCGUGGCCAAUGUGUGGCCUGUGGAAUUGGCACUGGGCAAGCCUGCGGCUGGGUCCCAAGGCUCCUGCUCUAGGCAGGCAUCUGCUCUCUUGCCUGGCUUUCCUGCUUGUUCUCUUCUCCCUGGCCUCUUCAACCUCUGAUAAAUAAGUCCCUUUCUCCUCCACUCUUUACCCCACUUUCAUUUCUUUCUCUUCCAUCUCCGUGUCCUGAGGAAUAAAGGAGGGCCUAGGCAGCUCCCUGGCCCCAUGCCUUCUCCCUGCCCAAGAAGUUCUUAAAUGUUUAAGGGAAAGAUGGUUUUUCACAAAGGAAAUGUUCACUCCUCCACUGGACUGUGAGUUCCACGAGGUCAGGGACUGUGUUUUCCCUGCCCCUUGCUGUCUCCUGGUAUUGGGCAUGUAAACAUGUGUUCAUGGAUUAUACAAAUAAAAAAGAAGACUGCUUUUAACAAGGGUGGCCUCUGAGGACAAGUGACGUAGAGAGAGAAGGAGAAGAUGUUAAAACUUUUUAUUUAUUUACAAUUUCCUUCUCUUAAAAAUGUUGACUUUGGUCAGGCCUUCUGGCCAAGUGGAAUGUAGCCUGAGGUCAUUGUCAGGGUCUUCUCAAGAGAUGGAUGUUGCAGGAGGGGCUGCUUCACCUCCAGUUCCCAUGGGAGCUCCACUUAUACAGGGAGAGAAAUCAGGGAAAUGAGAAGCAAGGAAGUGGGAGGAAGGUGCACAUUUAGAUGAAUUUUCUCUAUCACUCCAUCUAGCCAGCAUGUAAGCUUUGUCUGUCCUGGUUCAGAAAAGCUGGUUUCUCUCCAGAAUCCAGAGGAGGGAAGGAAGGAGCUAAUUUUAUUCAGCAUCUACUGUGUGUCAUGCACAUCACAUAAUUUAUAUCACUGAUUCAUAAGAAUCUAGUUUGAUUGUGAUCCUUAUUAAACAGAUGAAGUUCAAUAAUUCACCUAAAGUCAUGCCCACGAGAGGGAAACCCGGGAUUUAAACUGACCUUCCUACGCUUAAGCCUGUCACCCUCCUUCCAUUAUGUUAUGCUACCUGUGGUUACAAAUAUAAAGAAAAAAUCAGUUGCCAGAGUAGAAGAGGGUAAGGGGGAAGCAUCCUCUAAAAGUUGGAUGAGCCUCACAGGCAUAUGAACAAUGCUGGACGUAAGUGGGUACUUACUGUAGGAUCCUAUUUAUAUGAUGCUCAAGAACAGGCAAAACUAACCUAGGAUGCUGGAAAUGAGAACAGUGUUUGUCUCUGUGGGUGGGGAUUGAUUGAAAAAGGACAGGAGAGAGCUUCACUGGGAUAAUGGAAUUCUUCUAUAUUUUAUUUGGGUGAUGGCAGGAAUAGUGUUUGUAGGAAC